RNAcentral lists this long non-coding RNA (270 nucleotides) under Elaeis guineensis (African oil palm). Its description in RNAcentral is "long non-coding RNA (EGUI_LNC008384)". The record is from RNAcentral. Lineage: Eukaryota; Viridiplantae; Streptophyta; Magnoliopsida; Arecales; Arecaceae.
UGGGUGUAGUUAUCGUAUGAUUCAGUCCUUCUAUCAUGAGUUCCGACUUGACGAAGGUCGUAGAGAACUCGUCAAACUCCAUCGUUAGUCAUAUGCUAGAUUGGCUCGACUCGAGUUCAUUUGUGAAUCUCGUGAAAAGUCUUUUUCAGUAUUCAUAUUUGCUUUGACCAAAGAUUUUCUGAACUCAGUCUCAUAAAUUAUAUAGGACUUUUCAUUUUCUACCAAAGUCGAUAGAUGCCAUCUAGGUGCAUCCUACUCCAAACAGUAAAC